This 253-nucleotide ribosomal RNA is filed under the name uncultured bacterium. RNAcentral's name for it is "partial 16S ribosomal RNA". It matches the Rfam family "Bacterial small subunit ribosomal RNA", at positions 524 to 776 of the family's 1533-position model. The record is from RNAcentral.
UACAGGGGGUGCAAACGUUGCUCGGAAUUAUUGGGCGUAAAGGGCGCGUAGGCGGCUUGGCAAGUGGAUGGUGAAAUCCCUCGGCUUAACCGAGGAACUGCCGUCCAAACUGCUUCGCUUGAGACCGGGAGAGGUGAGUGGAAUUCCCAGUGUAGCGGUGAAAUGCGUAGAUAUUGGGAGGAACACCAGUGGCGAAGGCGGCUCACUGGACCGGUACUGACGCUGAUGCGCGAAAGCGUGGGGAGCAAACGGG